Molecule: long non-coding RNA, 908 nt
Organism: Mercenaria mercenaria
Lineage: Eukaryota; Metazoa; Mollusca; Bivalvia; Venerida; Veneridae
Exons: 5
Source: RefSeq, a predicted model, not a curated record
AAUCCAUAAUAUCAUUACAAGGGCAAUACACAUAAAAGUCAGAUGUGUCAAUUUUAUUUUUAGAAACGGUUGCAGUCACAAAGUAAUUGACAGAGUAAAAUGUAAAUUUCAGCAUAUUUUUUUCACACAAAAAUGUGUUAGUGCGUAGAAAUGUGAUCAGGCUGAGCACAUGGCCUUAUGGAUUUCAUGAUUUUCGGCGCUUAACGUGAAAACAGUUAAAGCACAGGAUUCACAAACAUUAACUUUAUGCUUAAAUCUAUAUGCGAUACAUUAUGCAUAUAAUUAUAAUUCACGAUAAUAUCGCAUAUGGAAGUAACUGGAAUAAAUUUGGACUAUUUCCUUCAGAAGUUUACAGGACUGUCCUGUCAAAAGACCUCGCUCGUGUUUACAUGUUUUGACAGGUCGAGUUGUUCUGGGACUAGGAACAAUGAUGAAUGAAUACCUGCACCAUGGAAACAAUGUCAUUUGCAAACUUUUUGAACCUGUACUGGGCGUUCACAUUGACAUUUCUUGUUCAACAGGAAUACAUGAUGUCGACCAACAGUACAGCUAGAUGAAGAUAUAAAUUUAUUCAAAGAAAUAAUGGGACAAUGAAUGCUAAAUUUGCCAAGAAGAAGACUGCCAAUUUACACACCAUUUUAUACAGUUACAGUAUGAUAUGGUGAACAAAAUGCCUCAAUGCAGCCAGUUCUGGAGCUUUGGCUAGACUAUGAACAGUAGACAUCAAAAGAUGAUCAUCUGAAGGGCCACAAUUGUUUAAAGCACUGGUCAACAAAAACUGAACUAUUUGAUGGAUCAUACAUCUGCAGAAUGUACUACCAUAUUUCCAGAAUCAGAGGAAAUAGAAAUAUCAACUAUUAGAGAGAAAGAAAAGUAUGCAUCAUGUAUGAAGAACUGCCUAAGAAUAA